UCUCCGUUGGUGAACCAGCGGAGGGAUCAUUACCGAGUUUACAACUCCCAAACCCCUGUGAACAUACCAUUUGUUGCCUCGGCGGUGCCUGCUUCGGCAGCCCGCCAGAGGACCCAAACCCUUGAUUUUAUACAGUAUCUUCUGAGUAAAUGAUUAAAUAAAUCAAAACUUUCAACAACGGAUCUCUCGGUUCUG
RNAcentral lists this unclassified non-coding RNA (195 nucleotides) under plant metagenome. RNAcentral describes it as "partial contains small subunit ribosomal RNA, internal transcribed spacer 1, and 5.8S ribosomal RNA". The record is from RNAcentral.